AUUGAACGCUGGCGGCAGGCCUAACACAUGCAAGUCGAGCGGAUGAAGGGAGCUUGCUCCUGGAUUCAGCGGCGGACGGGUGAGUAAUGCCUAGGAAUCUGCCUGGUAGUGGGGGAUAACGUCCGGAAACGGGCGCUAAUACCGCAUACGUCCUGAGGGAGAAAGUGGGGGAUCUUCGGACCUCACGCUAUCAGAUGAGCCUAGGUCGGAUUAGCUAGUUGGUGGGGUAAAGGCCUACCAAGGCGACGAUCCGUAGCUGGUCUGAGAGGAUGAUCAGGCACACUGGAACUGAGACACGGUCCAGACUCCUACGGGAGGCAGCAGUGGGGAAUAUUGGACAAUGGGCGAAAGCCUGAUCCAGCCAUGCCGCGUGUGUGAAGAAGGUCUUCGGAUUGUAAAGCACUUUAAGUUGGGAGGAAGGGAAGUAAGUUAAUACCUUGCUGUUUUGACGUUACCAACAGAAUAAGCACCGGCUAACUUCGUG
Molecule: ribosomal RNA, 484 nt
Filed under: uncultured bacterium
Lineage: Bacteria
Description: partial 16S ribosomal RNA
Rfam family: Bacterial small subunit ribosomal RNA
Source: RNAcentral